GAAGAAGCCCUAGUCCCCAUCCGGAGUCGGCAACUUUCGUCUUCUGGCCUUCUUUCUCUCUCGGUAACAAUGGUGCGUGUGAGUGUUCUGAAUGAUGCUCUUAAAAGCAUGUAUAAUGCUGAGAAACGGGGGAAGCGUCAGGUCAUGAUAAGACCGUCUUCUAAAGUUAUUAUCAAGUUUCUUCUUGUUAUGCAGAAGCACGGAUACAUUGGGGAAUUUGAGUUCGUUGAUGAUCAUAGAUCAGGGAAAAUCGUUGUUGAACUGAACGGGAGACUCAACAAAUGUGGUGUCAUAAGUCCCCGUUUCGAUGUCGGUGUCAAGGAGAUUGAAGGUUGGACUGCUAG
This 344-nucleotide unclassified non-coding RNA is filed under the name Hevea brasiliensis (rubber tree). Lineage: Eukaryota; Viridiplantae; Streptophyta; Magnoliopsida; Malpighiales; Euphorbiaceae. The record is from RNAcentral.